GCGUCGUAUGAAAGAUCGCUGUCGCAGCACACGCACAGAAAGCAUCUAGCUUUCGCAUUCUCGCUGUGGGGAAAGUCCCCGGAGACACAGAGCGCCACCUUCUCACCCGGAACGGAAAGCGCCCAGCUUCAAAUUUGUUGAGGGGGGUGAGAUAGGUCGGGCGAAGCCGAUUUUACUCGGUCUCGUUUGCACGGGGCCAGUUCCGUUUGCCCACUCUGUCGCUAGCUUGAAGUUGAACGGCUCUAUCACCGGCGUAUUCAUGCGAAGAUAUGAGCAUGUUUGCGCUUGAGCUGUUUGAUGGAUGGCUAGCUCUUCGUUGCUCAUAGAUAGAGUUAUGCGAUCGUUGGUGUUACCUUUCCGGUCGCCUUCAACUCAAUGGGGCUUAAUCUCAUCCGACG
This 398-nucleotide RNase MRP RNA is filed under the name Paxillus involutus ATCC 200175. RNAcentral describes it as "RNase MRP". It matches the Rfam family "RNase MRP". Rfam says of the family: RNase MRP is an enzymatically active ribonucleoprotein with two distinct roles in eukaryotes. In mitochondria it plays a direct role in the initiation of mitochondrial DNA replication. Lineage: Eukaryota; Fungi; Basidiomycota; Agaricomycetes; Boletales; Paxillaceae. The record is from Rfam by way of RNAcentral.